GACAAAACAAGUCUCCGAGCCUCCAUUGCCUAAAGGGCGUCAAACCCCACGGCAUGGAGGCCUGCAGGCCGGGCCGGAAACGGCCGGACCUCCCUUUCGGAAAGGAGACUGCAAAUAAUCACU
Geobacter sp. is the source of this 123-nucleotide regulatory RNA element. It matches the Rfam family "Molybdenum/Tungsten riboswitch aptamer (Moco RNA motif)". NCBI's taxonomy places the organism in Bacteria, Pseudomonadati, Thermodesulfobacteriota, Desulfuromonadia, Geobacterales, Geobacteraceae. The record is from Rfam.